CCUACGGGGUGCUGCAGUGGGGAAUAUUGGACAAUGGGCGAAAGCCUGAUCCAGCCAUGCCGCGUGUGUGAAGAAGGCCUUCGGGUUGUAAAGCACUUUCAGUGGGGAAGAAAGCCUUGGGGCUAAUACCCUCGAGGAAGGACAUCACCCACAGAAGAAGCACCGGCUAACUCCGUGCCAGCAGCCGCGGUGAUACGGAGGGUGCGAGCGUUAAUCGGAAUUACUGGGCGUAAAGCGCGCGUAGGCGGUCUGAUAAGCCGGUUGUGAAAGCCCCGGGCUCAACCUGGGAACGGCAUCCGGAACUGUCAGGCUAGAGUGCAGGAGAGGAAGGUAGAAUUCCCGGUGUAGCGGUGAAAUGCGUAGAGAUCGGGAGGAAUACCAGUGGCGGAGGCGGCCUUCUGGACUGACACUGACGCUGAGGUGCGAAAGCGUGGGUAGCAAACAGGAUUAGAUACCCCGGUAGUC
This 465-nucleotide ribosomal RNA is filed under the name Vreelandella stevensii. RNAcentral describes it as "partial 16S ribosomal RNA". It matches the Rfam family "Bacterial small subunit ribosomal RNA", at positions 338 to 795 of the family's 1533-position model. The record is from RNAcentral. Lineage: Bacteria; Pseudomonadati; Pseudomonadota; Gammaproteobacteria; Oceanospirillales; Halomonadaceae.